This 75-nucleotide transfer RNA is filed under the name Cyrtodactylus langkawiensis. RNAcentral describes it as "tRNA-Asn". Lineage: Eukaryota; Metazoa; Chordata; Lepidosauria; Squamata; Gekkonidae. The record is from RNAcentral.
UAGGCUGAAGUCCGCUGGAUUGGUCGUUUAGUUGUUAACUAAUAUUUUUGCGGGAUCGAGGCCCGUCAGCUUGAG